UUUGCAUUUUACAAAUAUAUAGAAGAUACUUAAGAAUUAAAGUACAACUUAAUCUGCAAUAACUAAUUCAUUAUAACUCUUUAAUAUGAAUUUGGAUACCCUGUUAAGCCUGCACAGAUCAUAAGAAGAAUUUCAAAUUCUUUGGCACCGUCCCUUGAUGAUCUUUGCUGGCUGGACACAGAAUCUAUAAUCUUAGAAAUAUGUUUUAAAAAUAUAUUUUCAAUAAUUAAGGAGCUUGACUCAUCUGCAUUAAGUACAAGUAGGGACUCCCCUUUAAGCACCGACUCUUGGUGCUUUCUGCAGAUAAGUCAUAUUAAAUAUCCUUUAUUAAAUAAACUUUGUUAUUUGCAGUAUACCUCAUAGUCAAAUGUGGGAGUGCUUAAUUGCUUUGUUUUUUAUUGGGUUCUUUUUUGUAUUUUUUUGUAUUUUUAUAUAUUGACAUUUCUCCGCACAAACUACUAAUGCCUCAUGUUUGUCUUCUCAAAGUGAAGAUACACUUACCGGGUGCACUUGAGUCAUUUUCAACAUAGUAUUCAUUGAAUAAUAAUACAUUGCUACUAUUUCGUUGAGUGUAUUUUCUGUGUUAUAUUAUUUUAUUUUAUUAUUUUUAUAACACUUGUUACAUAUCUUUACUGUGUGUGUAUUGCAUAUGUUAUUGUUUAUAAUAAUAUUGUCUGUAUCAUAUGCCCUCCUGGGGCCCUAAUUUGGUAAAUAAAAUAUUCUAUUCUAUUCUAUUCUAUAGUCAUAGUUUUGCACCCAACUAAAAUACCCCAAGUUUGAACAUCUUAUUUGAUUUCAGGACCACCAUACUCAAAUGUGAAAUACUUUGAUAUAUUUCGUAACUUUUUACCUUAAAGAAUCCUGGUCCUGAGUAGAUUUAGAAGUUGUCGUCAGCAAAAGAUUAAAACACCGUUCAUUGCGGGCUUCCGUUGUCGUUGAUUUCU
RNAcentral lists this long non-coding RNA (944 nucleotides) under Mytilus galloprovincialis (Mediterranean mussel). The record is from RNAcentral. Lineage: Eukaryota; Metazoa; Mollusca; Bivalvia; Mytilida; Mytilidae.